This 481-nucleotide ribosomal RNA is filed under the name uncultured bacterium. Its description in RNAcentral is "SSU rRNA". It matches the Rfam family "Bacterial small subunit ribosomal RNA", at positions 26 to 523 of the family's 1533-position model. The record is from RNAcentral.
AGGACGAACGCUGGCGGCGUGCUUAACACAUGCAAGUCGAGCGGUAAGGCCCUUUCGGGGAUACACGAGCGGCGAACGGGUGAGUAACACGUGGGUGACCUGCCCUUAGCUCUGGGAUAAGCCUGGGAAACUGGGUCUAAUACCGGAUAUGACCUCGCGAUGCAUGUCGUGGGGUGGAAAGCCUUGUGCGGCUAGGGAUGGGCCCGCGGCCUAUCAGCUUGUUGGUGGGGUGAUGGCCUACCAAGGCGACGACGGGUAGCCGGCCUGAGAGGGCGACCGGCCACACUGGGACUGAGACACGGCCCAGACUCCUACGGGAGGCAGCAGUGGGGAAUCUUGCGCAAUGGGCGAAAGCCUGACGCAGCGACGCCGCGUGAGGGAUGACGGCCUUCGGGUUGUAAACCUCUUUCAGCCCUGACGAAGCGAAGUGACGGUAGGGCAGAAGAAGCACCGGCCAACUACGCGCCAGCAGCCGCGGUAA